Molecule: ribosomal RNA, 620 nt
Filed under: uncultured Pseudomonadota bacterium
Lineage: Bacteria; Pseudomonadati; Pseudomonadota
Description: bacterial SSU rRNA
Rfam family: Bacterial small subunit ribosomal RNA
Source: RNAcentral
GACUGGCGGCACGCCUAACACAUGCAAGUCGAACGAAGUAGCAAUACUUAGUGGCAGACGGGUGAGUAACAUGUGGGUAUCUGCCCUUUGGCCUGGAAUAACACGAGGAAACUUGUGCUAAUACCGGAUAAGUCUUUACGGAGAAAGCUUUAUGCACCAUUGGAUGAGCCUGCACUUGAUUAGUUUGUUGGUGGGGUAAUGGCCUACCAAGACUGUGAUCAAUAGCUGAUUUGAGAGGAUGAUCAGCCACAUUGGGACUGAGACACGGCCCAAACUCCUACGGGAGGCAGCAGUGGGGAAUCUUGCACAAUGGAGGAAACUCUGAUGCAGCGAUGCCGCGUGAGUGAAGAAGGCCUUUGGGUUGUAAAGCUCUUUCGUCGGGGAAGAAAAUGACUGUACCCGAAUAAGAAGGUCCGGCUAACUUCGUGCCAGCAGCCGCGGUAAUACGAAGGGACCUAGCGUAGUUCGGAAUUACUGGGCUUAAAGAGUUCGUAGGUGGUUGAAACAGUUGGUGGUGAAAUCCCAUAGCUUAACUCUGGAACUGCCAUCAAAACUUUUCAGCUAGAGUAUGAUAGAGGAAAGCAGAAUUUCUAGUGUAGAGGUGAAAUUCGUAGAUAUUA